AAAUUGAAGAGUUUGAUCAUGGCUCAGAUUGAACGCUGGCGGCAGGCCUAACACAUGCAAGUCGAACGGUAACAGGAAGCAGCUUGCUGCUUCGCUGACGAGUGGCGGACGGGUGAGUAAUGUCUGGGAAACUGCCUGAUGGAGGGGGAUAACUACUGGAAACGGUGGCUAAUACCGCAUAACGUCGCAAGACCAAAGAGGGGGACCUUCGGGCCUCUUGCCAUCAGAUGUGCCCAGAUGGGAUUAGCUAGUUGGUGAGGUAACGGCUCACCAAGGCGACGAUCCCUAGCUGGUCUGAGAGGAUGACCAGCCACACUGGAACUGAGACACGGUCCAGACUCCUACGGGAGGCAGCAGUGGGGAAUAUUGCACAAUGGGCGCAAGCCUGAUGCAGCCAUGCCGCGUGUAUGAAGAA
Molecule: ribosomal RNA, 415 nt
Filed under: Salmonella enterica
Lineage: Bacteria; Pseudomonadati; Pseudomonadota; Gammaproteobacteria; Enterobacterales; Enterobacteriaceae
Description: bacterial SSU rRNA
Rfam family: Bacterial small subunit ribosomal RNA
Source: RNAcentral